GACAUUCCAAUUGACUUCUGCUGUCCAUGCGCCUUAACGGAAUUAGACCCAUCAGAUACAUGGCCCAUCCAAUAAUAGGAAUUAGGAAAAUUGCAGUCUUGCUGAUGAACUUGAAGUUUCUCCCAAGAGUAAGUAAUGUAUAUAUGUCCAAAAAGCUCUGAUGGUUGGACACAUAUACUGCAGGAGUAUCUGGAGAAGGAAGAUUCUCCAAGCCCUCAAACUCGACUCUAUAAAAUGGUGUAAUGGUCAAGGUUGCCCAUGUCCUGGCAACAAGAUGGUGAGCCUUCCUAUGGUAUCGAUCAAAUAACAGUACAAAAGGAUGUUGCACAAGCAUGAUCACGAACAAAAAGAUGGCAGAGAAAGCACUGACAGCGUAAAAGCAAAUUGCUCUUACUUUUGACCUCAACUCUAGUUCUGACAGUGGAUAAGCAGCACCGGCUGAGCUGGUAUUAGCAAGUUCGGACCUUGCAAUAAUGUCUCUCAAUGAUCUAUAUUGUCUAUAAAAGCUGUUAUUUCCAAAAGCGC
This 525-nucleotide unclassified non-coding RNA is filed under the name Hevea brasiliensis (rubber tree). Lineage: Eukaryota; Viridiplantae; Streptophyta; Magnoliopsida; Malpighiales; Euphorbiaceae. The record is from RNAcentral.